UACGAGGGGGGCAAGCGUUGUUCGGAUUUAUUGGGCGUAAAGGGUGCGUAGGCGGUUUGGCAAGUCUUGUGUGAAAUCUUUGGGCUCAACCCAAAGUCUGCAUAAGAAACUGCCGGGCUUGAGUAUGGGAGAGGUGAGUGGAAUUUCCGGUGUAGCGGUGAAAUGCGUAGAUAUCGGGAAGGAACACCUGUGGCGAAGGC
Molecule: ribosomal RNA, 200 nt
Filed under: uncultured bacterium
Lineage: Bacteria
Description: partial 16S ribosomal RNA
Rfam family: Bacterial small subunit ribosomal RNA
Source: RNAcentral